AAAUUUGUUUCUUAUAUUGUUACAACUAUUUUUUUUAUUCUAAAACACUUCCCAUAUUACACAUUUUUGUCAUUCGAAUCACAUAACCUCACUAAAUUAAUAUCAUAACAAAGAAAUAUCAUCGAUACAACUAAAGUAUAAGUACAUAUAGUAUCGAUUCAUUCAAUCGAUUACUCGUAAAUGAAGCACAAGUAUUGACUUGUUCUCGAUUGAUCUCGAAAAAAAUAAGUGGCAAAACGAUUUUUAAUGAACUUCAUUAAAUUAACAUUUUAACGGAAAAUAUCAUCGAUACAACUAAAUGUGAAUUUUUCGCGAGAAUGCUGUUGGUGUUAUUUGUCAAGCGUGACCGAAGGAAAGAGCAGCGGUUUCGAAUGAGAAAAUUUAUGGGUCGCAAUGUGUCGACGGAAACCUUAAAUUUUAACGUCCCUGUCGCGUACUCGGUUGCGUCCUGCCUUGCCUGUUAAGAACCUUGCGAAGGGGGAUUACGAGUUGACUGCCACGAAGCGAACGUGGAACAUCAAGGGGUGGUUCCACUCUCUCCACGGUGGGGGAGAAUCAGAAGUAUGGUGGUGGUUCUAUGGUAGGGAGAUGUGUAGACGGUGCCACAGGAAAAGGUGUAGGGAAGAGGCGCACGUUGCUCCUUCUUCCUUCCUGAUGCUUUGCUUGUGUCUCUUCCUACGCUGAAUAUUUUUCUUUUUGUGUUGCUCGAAAUAAAUAAAUCGGGUUUAACCGUUUGUGUCAAACGAGCAUAAUAGAUAAAGAGACAAAUCAAUGGGGCUGUCGAGUCGGCGGUCGCUGUUUGAUGUCAAGAAAGAGCUCGACCUGCUCAGAUUCAGCUAUCUCGAUGUCGUCGCCGACAACGGCAUCCUACUGCGAUAACGCCAUUAUGCGAAUUCGAGAUUUGCAUAUUUCAGAAAGUGCUGCACAGGAAAGCAUAAACAACUCUGGUCGCUCUGCGCAACGAGAGCGUUGUGGCUUCCUCGUCAGAAGAGUUACACGCAUGGAAGAUUUACGGAGAAUCCAACGGUUUUCCUUUUCCCUUCCUCCACCUUUUUUCCACUUUUUUCCCCCGUCGUUUUUUUGCUAUCUUUGUUAUUUUUUUUUUCCCCUCUUUGUUUUUAUUUAUUUAUUUUGUUUUUUUUUUGUAGGAAAUCUCUUCUCUACACUCUGUAUUCAGACAGUAAAUGCAUGGUGACGCGAAAUGGAAAUUGGUUGAAUACCUUAAGAUGAUCAUUUUUGGAAUGGAGGACGAAAGAAACCGGUCCAACAAUUUAAACUAACUUGCGGUUUUCGGAUUGAAUCCUAACUAUAUUAAUAUUUGGACAACCAUCUUUUGGCAUUGUUAAUUGAUGCAUCUUGAAAUAGGCAGAAAAUAAGAUCUGAUAUUUCAAUAAUUUCACAGUGUGAAGUAUUGAAGAUUAUUGAAUUUUAUAGUAUUAUAAAUAUUUAAUUCAGAUUAAUGCUGGUUUUAAUCCAAUCAAUAUGAAUUCAAGACAAGAAUACCAUUUAAGUGCUGACAACCAAGCAAAACAGUAAGCAUGAGACCACCAACAGAUAAGAGUUGUGGUCGGGUAGAUCGCGUUUUCCACGCAUUUUAAUGCGAAUGGUCGCUUAUCAGGACAGCGUAAAGCGUUUCAAUGCUAGUUUCACCGCGUAAAUGGUGGAACGCGCGAAAACCGCGCGUCACUUACAUAAGUAAUAUAAUUGAUUCGUUACAAGCGCUCCUACACGUUGCAGAUAAGUUUAUCUGCAACACGCAUCGACGAAACCGGUUAGAUAACGAGCACUGCUACAUCAUAUAAUAAGCUUUAAUUAUUCGGAUAAUGAGGCUCGCCAUCCUCUUCUAAUGACAAAUAGCACCGCUUCACCCAUAAGCCACUGCGCACUACACAUAAAAUCCGCACGUCGGAACUUUCAAACGAAAAAUGACACUGGUCUCCGAAUCUUUCCUCGAAUCUUUUAUAUUACGAUUUAAUCUACUCUCUUAUCACCCAUUAUAUCUAGUUACUUCAAUACGCCUUACGUUUACCUUAAAGGAAUAUAAUCGGAAAAAUAUCUUCAUAAGAUGAUUGGAGAUUGAGAGAGAAUACGAAGUGACUUAAAUAAUCCCGAACAAAGUUAUUAAAUUAAUUGAAAAAUAAAUUGAUCUUGGAUAACAAAUAACAAAAAGUCCAACAUUAACAUCUAAUUUCUUACAAACACAUUUUAAUAAACUCGUCACACUGGUGCACGAGCCAACGAGUUAAGACUUAAGGAGGACACCUUUCCAACUUGAAUUUCAAUUUUCACGCGAUAGUCCAUAAAGCAUCCGAGAAAAGAAGGAGGAGCCUAAGCGAGCGAGAGUCCUAAGGGCGAUCAAGCGAAAAGAAAGGAAGCUGGAUGAUAUACCGGUGGAUCCACGUUCCACGCCGGAUAUUUACGUGUAGCCCGAUGGCCGAACUGCUGUCGAACAUCGGGUUUUACAGCGUCGAGCAACGGCGUAUCGUGGACAUCAUCGAGAGCCAAGGAUCCGGCGACUGGUUACACGCAAGUAGAUGGAUGAAGGUGGCUGGAACAAGGUGGCGGCUGAUGGGUGUAAAUUCGAGAUACGAUCUUCUCUCUUCUGUGUCCCUUUCCAAACGGAUUUACCGACUGCUGCGCAUUCUGCCUGCUUGGUUUUACUUGGUUUUUAAUUAUCCCCAGGGUUUCCGAGACAAAGGCGUCGCCGCCGUUGUUAGCCAGAUAUGAUGCAUCGGCAUUAGAGAAGUUGAAGAAUUUUAGGAAUGAACCGUGAUUCGAUACGUGAAUGCCUUUCUGAAUUGUUGUUUGAAAGAAAUUUGAUGGAAGAGAAGAUAAGGGGACGAGAAUCAAUCCAGUCAGAGUUUUUUAAUUUAUAAAUUGAUAGAAGCAUUGAAUGUUUGGAGGAAAGAUGAGGAAUUUCAGAAGAGAUAUAUAGAUAUAUCCUUAUCUCCGCGUCGGGACAAAUUAGCACCCCGACUGUGUGUUCGGUUGAAACCUGUUCGCUGGAAUCUGCAAAUUACCUUUUCUGCCGCCUCGAUAUAAAGGACGCCGGACAUUCGGAAUGGUGCGAGCGAGCCUUUUACGCCAGCGAUCUUGCACGAGUGUUGCAAGUACAAAUGAGCGAAUUUACGUUUCGACUAUUGCUGCCGGAUUCAUGUUAAGGAAGUAGCAAUAGAUUUUCAUAAUCUUCAAUACGUGUUAUUAGAUCUUUUUAUUGAUAGAUAAGUUUUAUCAUCGAGACUCGAUUAUUGUCUUUUUAAUGAAAAUAGAAGGGAUUCUUUAUAAGGGAUUACAAGAGUAUAGCCUUUAAAGUUUCUUUCCUCUUUUCUUUUUCAUAAUCGAGCAACAUAGAUUGACUUUUUCACUGUUUCAGGAGUCGAAAACACGACAAAAGUGACGAGAGCAAAUCUUUUGAGAACCAUCUUUUUAGCCAAGAGAAAGGAUAUAAAACACUGUUAUUCGCACAAUUCGCGAUAUUGGAGUCAGUUGAAGCUUCCAAUACUUUUAUUGAAGAUUUUGACAUAGAGUCAUGAUAGAAAAUAUUUAUAAUGUCAUCUUAUUUAAAUUGGACGUUUUCUUGGUCAUUUUAGAUGAACCAGUUUCUUCUUUCUGUAAUUAUUAUGAUAUUUAUUUCUUUCUUCAAUUAUAAUAAAUCCUUUUAUUUGUUUUUGAUUGUAGGAAAUAGAGAGGAAAGUAUUGAACAAGAUUGAUUAGUGAUACUCUUGAGUAUCCAUUUCAAGACAGACUCUUAAGUGAAUAUUGGAACAACAGCUUUAUUGUUGUGUGCUGUUAAACGCUUGAAAAGAUUUAGGAUUUUUCUCCCUUUCUUUUUAUCUUGUUCACUGCGAAUCUAGUUUACCAAGAUUAUACCUAAGGAUAGUUCUAUGCAAUACCAAAAGGAUUCUACCGACAACUAAGAAAAAUCCUAGAGAUAAGCUUAUUGCGACAAUAUUUGUCGUAGUUUCCCAUUCAGGCGGAGGGCAAGUUUGAAGAGAUUAUCUAUUAAUUAUAGAUCCCUGUAAAUCCUGUUUUUCGCGUGACCAAGUUUCCUUUUCCUUGAGUGAUUCGUUUAUCUCGAUGAAAGAGAAUUGGGAAAAAGAUGGGUAGCAAGCCAUAGUUGAGGAGAUAUCUAGGAGAAGAUCUAAGAAAGAAGAUCUAAUAUUCAUUGAAUGAUAGUUAGAAUCAGUUGAACUCGAUGAAUUCUAAGAAGUUUUCAACAUGGACGAGCAGCAGAAGAGACACUGAUUCCCUGGUGCUGAAGAUUACGACAAUGAGAUAUAUCAUUUAUCGAAUAAUCAUGCUUCCUAUUCUUGCAAUUCCUAUAAUUUCGAAAUAGAAGAAUUCUAUUAUCUGUACUCCAAUCCAUAAAACAGAAAAUAACAAAAAAGAAUUUUUAAUUAUAAUAAAAAUGAUAAAAAUAUAUUAUUUACUUCAUAUAUUAUUGUUAGAUUUCAUUUCAAUUCUCAUCAAGAAGAAACUUACUAUUUGCUUUUGUACGAAUGGUCUCUGAACGGCCAAUUGAUUGUUUCACGCAGAAAGAUAAUAAUUACAAUUGUCUAAAUGAAUUAAUAUCAGGAUUCAAGUAUUGUACUGGUAAAUUCAAUCACAGGGAACUCGCGUGCCCAUGAUAACGAGGAAUCGGGGAAAGGAAAAGCAUUCGUUUAGCCGGCCGUUCCUCAUCGUUCUUUCGUACGGUGUUGUUGUCAAUCGUCGAAACGAAUUUUCGACAGAGGACGCAAAGAGGACCGAUGUCGGGCCCCCUGCUGGGGUAUCGGUUACGCUUAAACCGCGUUUAGGGCUCUCGAAUGCCGGCUUUUUGAGACCGUGACAGCAACCCGAUUGUUGUAGUGAUGGAUUGAAGAAACAACGAAUCAUCAUUGAGUUCUUUUUGUUUUUAACCGUUAGUAGAAUGUGGGAAAUUGUUUAUGAACAGUACAAGAUGCUGAAGAAAGGGAAAGAUAUAGAAUGUGUAUCUAUAUAGACUAUUAGAGGAAGAAAUAUAAAAAUUUUAAUACUGUUA
This 5020-nucleotide long non-coding RNA is filed under the name Apis mellifera (honey bee). Its description in RNAcentral is "uncharacterized LOC102653847, transcript variant X3". The record is from RNAcentral. Lineage: Eukaryota; Metazoa; Arthropoda; Insecta; Hymenoptera; Apidae.